RNAcentral lists this small RNA (27 nucleotides) under Bombyx mori (domestic silkworm). RNAcentral's name for it is "ovarian small RNA-5852". Lineage: Eukaryota; Metazoa; Arthropoda; Insecta; Lepidoptera; Bombycidae. The record is from RNAcentral.
UAAUGCUAAAUUAACUACUGCCGCAUU